Portunus trituberculatus (swimming crab) is the source of this 256-nucleotide long non-coding RNA. RefSeq lists it as uncharacterized. The record is from RefSeq and is a predicted model, not a curated record. NCBI's taxonomy places the organism in Eukaryota, Metazoa, Arthropoda, Malacostraca, Decapoda, Portunidae. The transcript has 2 exons.
UAACAAAGGGCCACCAGGGCCCAUCUAGGUUAUCCUGUAUCAGUCGCACAGCGACCUCGUCAUAGAUACGGGUAACUGUAGGUAGAAUGGGCGAUCCAAGGCCAGGGGGGGGGGAGGAGUUCCGGGCAGCCUGGCAGUCAUUCUUCCCUCACUCACUGUGGGUGGUGUGGUGUGGUGCCAUUACUCCAUUGUAAUAAACUGUCUUCACUGCCUCAUUGUGGUGUUGUCACUAAGUAAUAAAUUGUGUAGAAAUCUU